AACGAACGCUGGCGGCAUGCCUAACACAUGCAAGUCGAACGAAGUCUUCGGACUUAGUGGCGCACGGGUGCGUAACGCGUGGGAAUCUGCCCUUGGGUGCGGAAUAACUUCUCGAAAGGGAUGCUAAUACCGCAUAAUGUCGUAAGACCAAAGAUUUAUCGCCCAAAGGAUGAGCCCGCGUAAGAUUAGCUAGUUGGUGGGGUAAAAGCCUACCAAGGCGACGAUCUUUAGCUGGUCUGAGAGGAUGAUCAGCCACACUGGGACUGAGACACGGCCCAGACUCCUACGGGAGGCAACAGUGGGGAAUAUUGGACAAUGGGCGAAAGCCUGAUCCAGCAAUGCCGCGUGAGUGAUGAAGGCCCUA
This 364-nucleotide ribosomal RNA is filed under the name uncultured bacterium. RNAcentral describes it as "bacterial SSU rRNA". It matches the Rfam family "Bacterial small subunit ribosomal RNA", at positions 29 to 419 of the family's 1533-position model. The record is from RNAcentral.